UACGGACGGGGCAAGCGUUGUUCGGAAUCAUUGGGCGUAAAGGGCGCGUAGGUGGUUCUGUAUGUCUACCGUGAAAGCAUACAGCUCAACUGUAUUUUGUCGGUAGAAACUGCAGGACUUGAGGCUGGGAGGGGCUGGUGGAAUUCCCUGUGUAGCGGUGAAAUGCGUAGAGAUGGGGGAGAACACGCGUGGCGAAGGCGGCCAGCUAGACCAGUUCUGACACUGAGGCGCGACAGCGUGGGGAGCAAACAGG
This 253-nucleotide ribosomal RNA is filed under the name uncultured bacterium. RNAcentral describes it as "partial 16S ribosomal RNA". It matches the Rfam family "Bacterial small subunit ribosomal RNA", at positions 524 to 776 of the family's 1533-position model. The record is from RNAcentral.